Molecule: long non-coding RNA, 586 nt
Filed under: Homo sapiens (human)
Lineage: Eukaryota; Metazoa; Chordata; Mammalia; Primates; Hominidae
Description: long intergenic non-protein coding RNA 359
Source: RNAcentral
AGGGCACAGCUACUCAGGUCUACUCGCUGUGUGAGAACCGAAAGCGCAAGUCAGGCUCACUGCACCUGCAUAUGGGGAAGCCAGAAAAACCUGUUCCAAACUUCUGAGACAUGACCUGUCCUAACACUGAAGGAUCAUAAAAAAUUUGCUUUCACCAAGAAGUUCAGAAACUUUAACAUGGCUGAUGUGAUAAAGUGUUGGGUCUUUCUCUGAAGCUCAAGAAGGAAGGAGAAUUUGAGGAAGGCUGAACUCAGAGAAGAGAGGUGAUAAAAUAGAGAGAAAGGUCUCUGGAGAGAUCAGCUACACCGUAGCCAGCUGGGACCUGUGGAGGACGAAGAUCAUUAUGAUAUUCCCUGCAGCAGGAAGCAGCAAAUGAACUGUCAGGCCAGUGAGGUCUGACACCCAAUUAUAAGUUGUCAAAUAUAUACACAGCGUCUUUCCAUCAUACCUACAUUUGUUAACGUUAUUUUUAUUUACCUUCUGUUUUGUGUCCAGCACUGAUAUUGUGCUAAAUCCUUCAGACAAAGUUUGGUGCUUUCAUGACCUGACUAUGUGUUUGCAGUAAGUGUUUGGAGAAAUGAGGGAG